This 2466-nucleotide ribosomal RNA is filed under the name human oral metagenome. Its description in RNAcentral is "bacterial LSU rRNA". It matches the Rfam family "Bacterial large subunit ribosomal RNA", at positions 319 to 2312 of the family's 2925-position model. The record is from RNAcentral.
AUCGGCGUGGUUAGCAGAACGAGCUGGAAAGCUCAGCCGGAGACUGUGAUAGCCAGGUAUGCGAAAACGACGCUGACCUUAUUCUGUAUUCUCGAGUAGGUCGGGGCACGAGAAACCCUGAUUGAAUCCGGCUGGACCACCAGCCAAGGCUAAAUAUAGUAUAUGAUCGAUAGUGAACUAGUACGGUGACGGAAAGGUGAAAAGAACCCCGGGAGGGGAGUGAAAUAGAACCUGAAAUUUUGUGCCUACAAGGAGUCGGAGCCCAGCACCUUUGAAAUCGAGUGGUACAAUGUAGACAGAUGUUCUACGUGUACGUUUUGCAAAGUGAUCGGGAAUCAGAUCAAAUUUACUUCGGUCAGACUAGUGACUUAAGACGACGUCUCUCGGAACAUAAUUCCGGUAAGGAUACUUAUACCAAGAUAUAUGCGCCAUGGAGGGUUGUCUAUUAUGAAGCCUAUUCAUCACGUAAGCUGGCAUUAGCCCGUGAGAGGCAGUUGAAAGCUUAUGGACAAGCCAGGACUGCUCUGAAGAAGAGACUAAAUUUGAUCUGAUACUCGAUUUCAAAGGUGCUGGGUGACGGCGUGCUUUUUGUAGAACGAUCCAGCGAGUUAAUUUUUACGGCGAGGUUAAGUCAGAUGACGAAGCCACAGUGAAAGCGAGCAUUAACAGUGCGAUUUAGUCGUAAGGAUUAGACCCGAAACCGGGUGACCUAACCAUGAGCAGGUUGAAGCAACCUUAAUCGGUUGUGGAGGACCGAACCAGUGUAUAUUGCAAAAUGCUUGGAUGACUUGUGGUUAGCGGUGAAAUGCCAAUCGAACUUGGAGAUAGCUGGUUCUCCGCGAAAUAGUUAUAGGACUAGCGUCGUGUGAUAGCUUACGGGGGUAGAGCUCUGUCAAGAGAUAGGGGGAGCAAUCCUACCUACUCUUAAUAAACUACGAAUACCGUAUGUCUGUAUCACGGCAGUUAGAACGUCGGUGCUAAGAUCGGCGCUCAAAAGGGAAACAGCCCAGACCAUCAUCUAAGGUCCCCAAAUUUACGCUAAGUGGGAAACAAGGUGGAAUUUCUUAAACAGCUAGGAUGUUGGCUUAGAAGCAGCCAUUCAUUUAAAGAGUGCGUAACAGCUCACUAGUCAAGAGAUUUUGCGUGGAAAAUGUAACGGGGCUAAAGUGUUAAACCGAAGACAUGGACUUCUGCUUAUGCAGGAGUGGUAGAGGAGCGUUGAUAUCGCAGUGAAGUCAGAUUGUAAAGUCUGGUGGAGCGUUAUCAAGUGAGAAUGCUGGAAUCAGUAACCUUAAGACAGGUGAGAAUCCUGUCGGUCGUAAGAGCAAGGUUUCCAGGGCCACAGUAAUUGUCCCUGGGUUAGUCGGUCCUAAGCCGAGGCGUAUCAGCGUAGGCGAUGGACAACAGGUUAAUAUUCCUGUACAGGUAGUAGUUGUGAACAGUUCACGGUGAAUGACCGGAGCGGAUUAAUGGUUUAUCCGUCCAAGUCUCUAGGGAACUAGAGAUGAGUGAAAGGUAAUCUUCGGAUUAUUAAUUUCGGGUGAAGCACUGGCUAGAAAAGCUGGUUCACUUAUGCUUCUGCCUACCGUACCGCAAACCAACACCGGUGCUCGGGUCGAGUAGACCAAGACCUACGUGAGAACCUUCGCUAAGGAACUCGGCAAAAAAGCGUCCGUAACUUCGGAAUAAGGACUGCCCUCUCAUUAAGAUGAGGAUUUGCUAGAAACUCAGCAGAAGAUUCAGCUAAUAAUGUUUGGUUAUUUAAAAUUAUAUUUUUGAGACCAUAAGCACGGGCGAGCGCCCUUGAGCGUGUCGAAAAAAUGUAAUUAAAUAUUUACCUUAAUACUGAAUUUUUUCGUUGAGACAGAACACAAAUCAGGAUUUGUUUUAGCAAAUUCGUGUCUUUUCUAGUAGUCUAAUCGUCAUUUUGAUGAGAGGGCCGCAGCUAAAGAGCCCACGGAACUGUUUACCAAAAACAUAGGUCUCUGCUAACGCGAAAGCGGAUGUAUAGGGGCUGACUCCUGCCCGGUGUCGGAAGGUUAAGGGGAGAGCUUUACGGUUCGAACUGAAGCCCCGAUGAACGGCGGCGAUAACUAUGAUCGUCCUAAGGUAGCGAAAUUCCUUGUCUGGUAAGUUCAGACCCGCACGAAUGGAGUAAUCAUGUGGGCACUGUCUCGGCGAAGGCCACGGUGAACGUGCAUUGGCGGUAAAGAUGCCGUCUGAUCAUGCCAGGACGAGAAGACCCCAUGGAGCUUUACUACAACUUUGCAUUGAUUAUUGGGACAUUUUGUGUAGAAUAGGUGGAAGACUUUGAAGCAGAUACGCUAGUAUUUGUGGAGUCGAAAUGUGAAAUACCACCCUGAAUGUUUUAGUAAUCUCACUUUUGACCUUAUCGGCCAAGAGGACCGUGCAUGGCGGGUAGUUUAACUGGGGCGGUUGCCUCCUAAAGAGUAGCGGAGGCGUUCA